Long non-coding RNA from Octopus bimaculoides (California two-spot octopus), 447 nucleotides. Lineage: Eukaryota; Metazoa; Mollusca; Cephalopoda; Octopoda; Octopodidae. The record is from RefSeq and is a predicted model, not a curated record.
CUGCCAACUGUCUCGUUCACCGACAUUCUACAUUUGCUCUCUUACGACAAUGAAAUAAUUCGCCGAUAAAUAUUUGGAAAACUUUUGAGCAAAGCAAUGUAGGCGAGAAAUUCAGCAAAAUUUAUAAGAUCAUGUCAAUAAAUAAAAGGGAAAAUAUAUUUGUACCACCUGAUAUUGCCCCCGAAAUAUUCUACAUUCAUCAAAGAACCUAUGUAAGGUAAUACAAUAUAUUUUCUCUUUGUUUUCGUUCAUUAAUAUAAUCUUACAUAUUCAACAUCUGCUGUUGUUAUUAUUAUUAUUAUUAUUAUUAUUCAAAGGUUUUUUUUUUCAUCAAACAUUCACCUCAUUAACACAUAUUACAAUGCUUCAAGUCAAUUACAAUACUCGAUUAUUUUUCUUAUUUUCAUGUACAAUUUACCAUACAAUAAAUAUAUAUUUGUUAUUUAA